GACGAACGCUGGCGGCGUGCUUAACACAUGCAAGUCGAACGGAAAGGCCCCUUUGGGGGUACUCGAGUAGCGAACGGGUGAGUAACACGUGAGUAACCUGCCCUUGACUUCGGGAUAACUUCAGGAAACUGGGGCUAAUACCGGAUAGGAAUCCUUGCUGCAUGGUGGGGGUUGGAAAGCUUCGGCGGUUUUGGAUGGACUCGCGGCUUAUCAGCUUGUUGGUGGGGUAGUGGCUUACCAAGGCUUUGACGGGUAGCCGGCCUGAGAGGGCGACCGGCCACAUUGGGACUGAGAUACGGCCCAGACUCCUACGGGAGGCAGCAGUGGGGAAUAUUGCACAAUGGGCGGAAGCCUGAUGCAGCAACGCCGCGUGCGGGAGGACGGCCUUCGGGUUGUAAACCGCUUUCAGCAGGGGCGAAGCUUGUGGUGACGGUACCUGCAGAAGAAGCACCGGCUAACUACGUG
Molecule: ribosomal RNA, 465 nt
Filed under: uncultured bacterium
Lineage: Bacteria
Description: partial 16S ribosomal RNA
Rfam family: Bacterial small subunit ribosomal RNA
Source: RNAcentral